AACACAUGCAAGUCGAACGAUGAAGCCCAGCUUGCUGGGUGGAUUAGUGGCGAACGGGUGAGUAACACGUGAGCAACCUGCCCCCCUCUUCGGGAUAAGCCUUGGAAACGAGGUCUAAUACCGGAUAUGAGUCAUCGAGGCAUCUCGGUGGUUGGAAAGAUUUUUUGGUGGGGGAUGGGCUCGCGGCCUAUCAGCUUGUUGGUGGGGUGAUGGCCUACCAAGGCGUCGACGGGUAGCCGGCCUGAGAGGGCGACCGGCCACACUGGGACUGAGACACGGCCCAGACUCCUACGGGAGGCAGCAGUGGGGAAUAUUGCACAAUGGGCGAAAGCCUGAUGCAGCGACGCCGCGUGAGGGAUGACGGCCUUCGGGUUGUAAACCUCUUUCGACAAGGAAGAAGCUUUCGGGUGACGGUACUUGUAGAAGAAGCGCCGGCUAACUACGUGCCAGCAGCCGCGGUAAUACGUAGGGCGCAAGCGUUGUCCGGAAUUAUUGGGCGUAAAGAGCUCGUAGGCGGUCUGUCGCGUCUGGUGUGAAAACCCGAGGCUCAACCUCGGGCUGGCAUCGGGUACGGGCAGGCUGGAGUGCGGUAGGGGAGACUGGAAUUCCUGGUGUAGCGGUGGAAUGCGCAGAUAUCAGGAGGAACACCGAUGGCGAAGGCAGGUCUCUGGGCCGUUACUGACGCUGAGGAGCGAAAGCAUGGGGAGCGAACAGGAUUAGAUACCCUGGUAGUCCAUGCCGUAAACGUUGGGCACUAGGUGUGGGGCAGGUUCCACCUGUUCUGUGCCGUAGCUAACGCAUUAAGUGCCCCGCCUGGGGAGUACGGCCGCAAGGCUAAAACUCAAAGGAAUUGACGGGGGCCCGCACAAGCGGCGGAGCAUGCGGAUUAAUUCGAUGCAACGCGAAGAACCUUACCAAGGCUUGACAUACACCGGAAAAGUGCAGAGAUGUGCUCCCCGCAAGGUCGGUGUACAGGUGGUGCAUGGUUGUCGUCAGC
Molecule: ribosomal RNA, 997 nt
Filed under: Myceligenerans sp. M-193
Lineage: Bacteria; Bacillati; Actinomycetota; Actinomycetes; Micrococcales; Promicromonosporaceae
Description: bacterial SSU rRNA
Rfam family: Bacterial small subunit ribosomal RNA
Source: RNAcentral